RNAcentral lists this ribosomal RNA (305 nucleotides) under uncultured bacterium. Its description in RNAcentral is "partial 16S ribosomal RNA". It matches the Rfam family "Bacterial small subunit ribosomal RNA", at positions 508 to 808 of the family's 1533-position model. The record is from RNAcentral.
ACAGCAGCCGCCCGGUAAUACAGAGGGUGCGAGCGUUAAUCGGAUUUACUGGGCGUAAAGCGUGCGUAGGCGGCUUCUUAAGUCGGAUGUGAAAUCCCUGAGCUUAACUUAGGAAUUGCAUUCGAUACUGGGAAGCUAGAGUAUGGGAGAGGAUGGUAGAAUUCCAGGUGUAGCGGUGAAAUGCGUAGAGAUCUGGAGGAAUACCGAUGGCGAAGGCAGCCAUCUGGCCUAAUACUGACGCUGAGGUACGAAAGCAUGGGGAGCAAACAGGAUUAGAUACCCCAGUAGUCCCUGUCUCUUAUACA